GACGAACGCUGGCGGCGUGCUUAACACAUGCAAGUCGAACGGUGAAGCCCUUCGGGGUGGAUCAGUGGCGAACGGGUGCGUAACACGUGAGCAACCUGCCCCUGGCUCUGGGACAACCACUGGAAACGGUGGCUAAUACCGGAUACGACCCGCCUCGGCAUCGAGUGUGGGUGGAAAGUUUUUCGGCGGGGGAUGGGCUCGCGGCCUAUCAGCUUGUUGGUGAGGUGAAGGCUCACCAAGGCGACGACGGGUAGCCGGCCUGAGAGGGCGACCGGCCACACUGGGACUGAGACACGGCCCAGACUCCUACGGGAGGCAGCAGUGGGGAAUAUUGCACAAUGGGCGAAAGCCUGAUGCAGCGACGCCGCGUGAGGGAUGACGGCCUUCGGGUUGUAAACCUCUUUCAGCUCCGAAGAAGCGAAAGUGACGGUAGGAGCAGAAGAAGCACCGGCUAACUACGUG
This 462-nucleotide ribosomal RNA is filed under the name uncultured bacterium. RNAcentral describes it as "partial 16S ribosomal RNA". It matches the Rfam family "Bacterial small subunit ribosomal RNA", at positions 28 to 507 of the family's 1533-position model. The record is from RNAcentral.